This 432-nucleotide ribosomal RNA is filed under the name uncultured bacterium. RNAcentral describes it as "partial 16S ribosomal RNA". It matches the Rfam family "Bacterial small subunit ribosomal RNA", at positions 29 to 507 of the family's 1533-position model. The record is from RNAcentral.
GCGAACGCUGGCGGCAGGCCUCACACCUGCAAGUCGAACGGAUCCUUCGGGAUUAGUGGCGGACGGGUGAGUAACACGUGGGAACGUGCCCUUUGGUUCGGAACAACUCAGGGAAACUUGAGCUAAUACCGGAUGUGCCCUUCGGGGGAAAGAUUUAUCGCCAUUGGAGCGGCCCGCGUCUGAUUAGCUAGUUGGUGAGGUAACGGCCCACCAAGGCGACGAUCAGUAGCUGGUCUGAGAGGAUGAUCAGCCACACUGGGACUGAGACACGGCCCAGACUCCUACGGGAGGCAGCAGUGGGGAAUCUUGCGCAAUGGGCGAAAGCCUGACGCAGCCAUGCCGCGUGAAUGAUGAAGGUCUUAGGAUUGUAAAAUUCUUUCAGCGGGGACGAUAAUGACGGUACCCGCAGAAGAAGCUCCGGCUAACUUCGUG